Molecule: ribosomal RNA, 207 nt
Filed under: uncultured bacterium
Lineage: Bacteria
Description: partial 16S ribosomal RNA
Rfam family: Bacterial small subunit ribosomal RNA
Source: RNAcentral
CGCGUAGGCGGUUUGGUAAGUCGGAUGUGAAAGCCCUGGGCUCAACCUGGGAACUGCACUCGAUACUGCCUGACUAGAGUAUGGUAGAGGGAAGUGGAAUUCCGGGUGUAGCGGUGAAAUGCGUAGAUAUCCGGAGGAACAUCAGUGGCGAAGGCGACUUCCUGGACCAAUACUGACGCUGAGGUGCGAAAGCGUGGGGAGCAAACA